ACCAUUGGCUAACUUCUUCUUCUUCCCUUUUCUUUUCAAUUUUCAGUAAGCCCACAAGAAAUAACCGAAGCCAUGACAAAAUAAUCCCCACCACCUCUUUUCUUUUUUCUUUCUAUGUGCCGACGACCAUCGUCUAGCCAUCACAGCCACCAUUGAUAAUUCAAGGCAUAUACUUGCAAAGAUCAGUACUCCGUGCUCGCUGAGUUUGGAGAUCGGGGACUAAACCUUAAACACAUAAAUUGUUUAAGAUCCAAAUCCUAAAUCACAAGUCAUGUUCAAGAAAGGACAGUAAGAAUCUUGGGUGGCUAGAUUCUUAGCUGAAUAGAGAUUUUCAGCAUGUUGGAUGAAGGAAAAGAAAAGAUGGACCUUUACACACACACCAUCGACAACAACCACCAGUUCUUUCUCUCUACGUCUAAAAGACCCAGUCUGUUGAUAGAAGGAGGCUUGGUACUUCUUCAAGGCCAAACCCUUGAAUGCCCACUGAAAUGUCAGCUGCAACAAAUAUGUUGAUUACUUCAAAGAGUUCAUCGAUUUCUUUUCUAGAAGUUCUCUUGUCGGAGAUUCUCUUGUUCUAGAAAUUGGUGAAAGAAAAACUUUAGCAAACAAAGAUAACAUUUGCUGGGUAAUUACUAAUUUGGACACUGGAGUAGCAAUCAAUUAAUAUUACUGCCCCUGUUACAAUUAAGAUGUUUCCAAACAUGUUGAUAAUGAUUUGAAAUUUAGAUUAUAAUUUAUGAUUUUAUGAUUUAUGGAUAUGGAUAUGGUUUGUUCUUUAAACUUAAA
This is a long non-coding RNA of Populus trichocarpa (black cottonwood), 786 nucleotides long. RefSeq lists it as uncharacterized. The transcript is spliced from 2 exons. Lineage: Eukaryota; Viridiplantae; Streptophyta; Magnoliopsida; Malpighiales; Salicaceae. The record is from RefSeq and is a predicted model, not a curated record.